RNAcentral lists this long non-coding RNA (3800 nucleotides) under Nicotiana benthamiana. Its description in RNAcentral is "long non-coding RNA (NBEN_LNC033874)". The record is from RNAcentral. Lineage: Eukaryota; Viridiplantae; Streptophyta; Magnoliopsida; Solanales; Solanaceae.
AACUUGUAUAUUGGACAAAGAAAAAUUAGUACCUAAUUUUUGGUGUAAAUUUUUUGUUUCUUUUCUAACUUUUCGCCAAAAAGCAAACGCGACAAAAGAAAAAAUUUCCUCAUUUAUUUGUGACAUUGGCUCUAGGUUUUCUCCUUUCAAUUACACAGUUACAAAUGAAAUCUUUGUUUGGUAUCUCUCUUCAUUAAGCAUGUUCCCACCUCAAAAUCUAGAUUACUUCUGAAGGUAAAUUUAUCUCCUCUUUUGUACUGUAUUUACAUUGAAGAACAAUUUUAGGAAUUCGAACAAUCACCUCAAAUUCUUUACAAUCUUAUUUAUUUAGGGGUUUUUUUGUUCUUCUUUUUGAGUUUUGAGCAGAUAUUAAUCAUCCAAAGUCCAUCGAAGAUAUGUACGAAGCAGUAACGCCUACUUUCCACUCCAAGGUUUGUGUUGGGGUUUCUCUUCUUGCUGUGAAUCGUUCUUUCCAUUCUUGGUUUUGGAGAAAAUGAGGAAUAGGUAAACAUGACUCGAGCGUUUAUGUCAAUUUUAAGGAUUUCUUUGUUAUGCUCUUAUGUGAAUAGAACAAGUGCUUUACUUUACUAGUUUUCACUUUCCAGAAUUUCCUUAUCGUAUUGAUAUAGGUAGUGGGUGGUUGAAUAUAUUUGAAGUAUAACCUUUCUGUUUUUCGUGAUAAAUCUUACUUUCAAUAUUUGCCAACUUUAUUUAGUGUUUUGGUAGUUUAUGAUGGAACUUGCAAUGUGUAUUUAAAUUAAAAAUAUGAGGAAAAGAAAAAUAUCAUGUGUAAACCUAUUAUAAAUGCAGAACAUGUUCAUAGUUUUGUUUUAUACUUUGCCAAUUACUAGGUACUAGUCAGCUAUAUUAGAAAAGUUAGAUCUAUAAUAGUUAUAUCUGCGGUAACUUAGCUAGUAAACUUGGAAUCAGGUAUCCUAGAACCCAGAGUUGAAAUGCCAUCCAUCUUCCUUUGACAGCUUUCUCUAUAUGCUUAGUAGUCUAGCUAUAGAUUUACAGUUGAAAGUUAACACCAAUCACCAAUUCAUAUCAGGAUUAUCUUUAGAAGGAAAAUAUAAUAGUUUGAGAAAAUCUCAUCUUUGAGAUCCUCCGGCACUGUUGGGAUGAGGUUUAACAGCAGUUGUUAUCACACCUUUGCUAUACAAGCUCACCGCCACCAUUGGAUUAUCUUAAUCGUCAAGUGCUUUCAGAUGAAUCUUUUCGGAUUGUUUCUCUGUUUUCUUCAAAAAUGCUAUUUUUAUUCUUCCAUUUUUCUGCUUUUUAACUGCCUAAUGCAUAAAUAUGGUAUAAAUGCAAAAGAGUUAUUUGGAAGUGGCUUAUUGUUAUUAAUGUUUUAAGUCCUCUUUCUGCUAAAUUUAUUGUAUUUUGCAUUAUUAUUUACAGUCAUUGAAAUAGUUGUUUCCAAUUUAGUCUCUAAGGAAGUGAAGGUGAACAAAAUAUAACAAGUCCUAGAGCCCCUCACAAUUUUUGUUUCACUUUAAUGUUUCUGGAUUUAUACUCUGGUUAUGUGAUUUAUACGCAGUAAUAAUUUUUCAAACAACUGUAGUUACAUUUGCAAUGAAGAAAAAAUAAAGUUACUGUGUGUAAGAUGCUUGAAAGUAGGGACAAGUAAGAAAACUAUUAUCGGCUCCCUUUUGGUGCUCAAGUGAAAUGUGUAGGUAUUGUUAUCAGCUUCCUACUGUUCUUGAUUUUAUAUUCUAAUCAUUCUGUUUUUCUUGUUAUUACCAGCUCCAAUAAAUGUUUUUUCUUGUUCAACAUUUUGGGGGUCAACUGCCAACUAGUUUUUCCAACUCUCGAAUUAAUCAGGUAAAUUUAUUACAAGUUACUAUUCUAUAGUCUUAUUUUUAAUUUGAUAUAGUAUCCAUGGUUGAAGGAUUGAGACAAGAGGGGUUGCUCUGAUGGUAAGCAACCCCCACUUCCAACCGAGAGGUUGUGAGUUCGAGUCUCCCCAAGAGCAAGGUGGGAAGUNNNNNNNNNNNNNNNNNNNNNNNNNNNNNNNNNNNNNNNNNNNNNNNNNNNNNNNNNNNNNNNNNNNNNNNNNNNNNNNNNNNNNNNNNNNNNNNNNNNNNNNNNNNNNNNNNNNNNNNNNNNNCCUCUCUACCCAAGGGUAGUGGUAAGGUCUGCGUACAUACUACCCUCCCCAGACCCCACUAAAUGGGAUUAUACUGGGUUGUUGUUGUUGUUGGUUGAAGGAUUGAUUUGAUUUUUUGUUACUAGAUAUAUUCAUCAAAUAAUUGCUAAACAUAUGUAGUUGCUACUAUAAGUAGAAGAGGAGUAUGGAAAUAGGACUUUAUAACUGAGAACGGGAUUAACAGAGUACUUCUACUUUUUCUUUCUCCUAAUUUGAAAAGCUAGAUGUGUUCAUGUCUUCUUGACCUUUGGAUUUAUGGAAAUAAUUUAGCUAUUUUGACUUUCAUAGAAAAAGGAAAAAAUGUUGAAACCCAACUAAAACUAAACUACACUUAUUGCAUCUUAAUUGGCAGGUUCUUUACGGUUUGCUUAUUUGAUGUUUAGAUAAAAAGAAUAGAGUUGGUAAAUUACUGAAACUAUAAUGACAGUGGAUCCUUGGGACAGUGAAUGUGAAUUAUAAUGUUAGGUAUUAACAUUGUAGACAACAUUCACUAACAUUUUAAUAGCGAAUGUAUAAAUGAGUCAGUAAAGAAGACUUGGAUUUUCACAAGCUAUUUGUCCACUAACUUCUUGAUAAAAAGGACCUUCUAGCUACUUAAUCAGUGCUAUUGCCUAAUCACAGCUGUUUGUUAUACAAGUGGAUGCCUUGUUUCUAUGAUGUUUUAAAGGAUUGACUGGAUUUUAUUUUCUGAAACUUCUAGACUAAUCUAGUGUAAAUUGAUCUCACCCGGGAAGUGAUCAAACGGAAAUUAGAAGCAGCAAGAAAGCCGAAGAACAAAACGAAAUUUAACAGUGUGAACUGAUCGAAAUUUAUACGGGGAAGAAAAGUAAUAUUUGAUAUGCCCGCCGUUUACCCAAAAGAAAAAAAAAAUAGAUGGCCUUCUUCUCUCAGGAGUGUGUGUCAGCAAGCCCAGUAGGAGCAAUUUGGUAAACCUGAUCUUUAAGAAUGAAACAGAAUUCCCAAAAGGCUGCGUAUUUAAAAUAUUUCUGAUAUUUUUGGUCAUUUGAAAUCCAAAUAAGAGAAUGUAAUGUAAGAUGACCAACCUUGUUUUACGGUGUUCCAACACGUCCUUACAACACCCAAAAUGAACGCCCAACUUCGACAUUGUUCUUUCAAUAUAUUUGCCAAACCUCUACACUGUAGAUUUUCACAGUUGCUAACUUGCCUUUCAGUUUCUUUUGUCUCUUUCAGCUAUCUGUCUUCGUGCUCAAUUUAUGUGCUUUGAUUGUACAGUAUUUUAAUUUUAUAGAUAGGUGCAGAUUCACCUGGAAUCAAGGAAGGCUGUGGACAAACUAGAAUAAAGGUAUUGAGAAAUUAAGAGAAAAGAUGAUGUUAGAGAUCUUUGUUGUAAAUGGAGGAAAUUGCAUCACCAGAUCUAUCAAAUGAGUUGCGAAAUUUUCGUUCGCUUCCAAAACAGGUGGAAAGAACUCACAAGAAAGGAGAACGAGGCUAUACUGAUUACAUUAUGUUGUACUUUUUUAGACAAUCUUAUUUUUAUUGUAGGACAUUAGUUCAUCAUAAAUGUGACAAAAAAAUAUACUUUGCCUAUAGUGACAAAGCAGUUUUGUCGGUAUUAAUGAUCUUUUCAGUAACGAAAAUGCUCUGUCAACUACGAUUUUUUAAUACUAUUUUUAAUGAAUAAGUUCGUCAU